RNAcentral lists this ribosomal RNA (1110 nucleotides) under Dysidea sp. 1 Po.25602. RNAcentral's name for it is "eukaryotic LSU rRNA". It matches the Rfam family "Eukaryotic large subunit ribosomal RNA", at positions 287 to 1194 of the family's 3401-position model. The record is from RNAcentral. Lineage: Eukaryota; Metazoa; Porifera; Demospongiae; Dictyoceratida; Dysideidae.
CCAAAAUGGGUGGUAAACUCCAUCUAAAGCUAAAUACUGGCACGAGACCGAUAGCGAACAAGUACCGUGAGGGAAAGAUGAAAAGCACUUUGAAAAGAGAGUCAAACAGUACGUGAAACCGUUGGGAGGGAAACGAACGAGGUUGGUGCAGUGAUUGCGCAGGCUCAGGUUCUGCCAAAGGUGCCAGCAGGACGACCCAGAGUGUCCCCCGUUGUCUACCGGAGGCAGAGCCGUACUCCUCGCGAGCACGGACCAGUGGCGGUUGGAGUGGGGCCAUAAGGCCGCGGGUACGGUAUGUCGGGUCGGGUUCGCUCGCUCGACAACUUACAGACCGGCGCGCCGGUGCUCCACCCCGACCGAGGAAGGAGGGCAGCGUUUGCCCGGUGUGGUGCACGCCGUAUGGCGGGGCGUCCCGUCGGUAGCAAGUCUGGCUGGGUGGACUGCUUGCAGUGCUCACUGCCACGGCGAACUAACGGUCGGMGAUUGUCACUUGUGCACCAGUGCUACUGGUAUUCGGACGGCCUCGUCCGACCCGUCUUGAAACACGGACCAAGGAGUGCAACAUGUGCGCGAGCCCUUUGGCAAGGAAACCAGAAGGCGUAAUGAAAGUGAAGGCACGGUCGCCGUGCUGAGGUGAGAGCCGUCCCCGACGGGACGGCGCAUCAUCGACCGAUCCCAUCCGUGCUGCUCGCAGUGUGGCGGGAUUCGAGUGAGAGUGUACCUGUUGCGACCCGAAAGAUGGUGAACUAUGCCUGAAUAGGGUGAAGCCAGAGGAAACUCUGGUGGAGGCCCGUAGCGAUUCUGACGUGCAAAUCGAUCGUCAAAUUUGGGUAUAGGGGCGAAAGACUAAUCGAACCAUCUAGUAGCUGGUUCCCUCCGAAGUUUCCCUCAGGAUAGCUGUAGCCCGAAGCAGUUUUAUCAGGUAAAGCGAAUGAUUAGAGGUAUCGGGGAAGAAACUUCCUCGACCUAUUCUCAAACUUUAAAUAGGUAAGAAGUCCGACUUGCUCAAUCUGAAGCCGGACACAGAAUGCUGGGUUACUAGUGGGCCAUUUUUGGUAAGCAGAACUGGCGAUGCGGGAUGAACCGAACGCAGAGUUAAGGUGCCAAAGU